UACGUAGGGUGCAAGCGUUGUCCGGAAUUAUUGGGCGUAAAGAGCUCGUAGGCGGUCUGUCGCGUCUGCUGUGAAAACUCAGGGCUUAACCCUGAGCUUGCAGUGGGUACGGGCAGACUAGAGUGCGGUAGGGGAGACUGGAAUUCCUGGUGUAGCGGUGAAAUGCGCAGAUAUCAGGAGGAAUACCGGUGGCGAAAGCGACUCUCUGGACGGCAACUGACGCUGAGGCACGAAAGCGUGGGGAGCAAACAGG
RNAcentral lists this ribosomal RNA (253 nucleotides) under uncultured bacterium. RNAcentral describes it as "partial 16S ribosomal RNA". It matches the Rfam family "Bacterial small subunit ribosomal RNA", at positions 524 to 776 of the family's 1533-position model. The record is from RNAcentral.